This is a non-coding RNA of Onthophagus taurus, 1256 nucleotides long. Lineage: Eukaryota; Metazoa; Arthropoda; Insecta; Coleoptera; Scarabaeidae. The record is from RefSeq and is a predicted model, not a curated record.
AAAAUCUCGAUGCCUAUCGAUGUCUUCGGCAUUUUCCAUUUUUAAAUCAUUCGCAGAUCUUAUGUGAAGGUGGUUUAAAGGAUAUCCUGUUUUAGCAAAAGAAGUCCAUAUGUUUAAGAGAAGAUCUUUCAUUGAUUCGUCUAAUUCGCUCAGUUCUUCAUAUAAAUUUUUAUUGUUUGGAAAUAUAUAGCUUAAAUCAUCUCCAUGACCUACUCCUAUAAGAAGACAUUGAAAAUUAAUUUAGCAGAAGUUGUAAUAAUGUUGAUAUUGAUAAAGAAAAAUCAGACAGUUCCAAAUUCAUCAAAUCAUAAGGAAAUAUCAGAUUAACCCCUCAGCCCAGAAAAAGCCCAUAUCAGCAGUUAUUUGAUGGCACCAAUAGAAUCCAAAAUGAUCAUAAAUGUUAGUGUACAAAUGAAUUGCUACUCCAAACUACAAAUUAAAGUUCUUUGGGUGAGUAGUUUUUAUAAGUAGUUCUUUUUAGGAGUCUUAGUAGUACUUUUAAUCACACACCUGUUGGGUUUGUGGCCACAACUGCUUAAACAACAUUACUUGAACUAAGUGAUUUGGCUGUGUACACAUUUUAAUAAAAUAAUUUAACAGGACUUGUUCAUAAUACUACAAGAAUGUAUGUUACCCUCAAAUUAUGUAUCACAUCUAGCGUUUUCAGCCCAGAAUACACUUCAAAUCUAGCUCCAAUUUGCUUGUUUCUAGUUAUAUAUUUGUAUUGUAACUUUAUAAGUAUCACAAUGAUUUUUCAUGCAAUGAAAUAGUCGUCAUUAAGCAAAAUAUGAUUGUAAAUAUUCAGUGGGUAUAUCUUUGCACUUGUUGUGGGGACAUAUACAGAGAAUGGCAGAUACAAGACAAACUAGACGAAUAUGGGAGGCAAGAGGUGGAAAGAAUAAUAUGAGAGGGAGGCCUAAAUAAAAAAAAUGAGAUGAAGUAACUAAUGAAAUACCACAAAAGUAGUUUUAACUAGUUUAAAACUAGUUUUGACUAUGAAAGUAAUUAAUUAGAGUAUUAGCAGUUUUAUUCAAUUUACUGUUCUACAACUACACCUCAAUGACUACACCAGAUGAAGAUGCGUGGGAUUCAGAACAGUUCAGGGUACACACUAAGACACAGAAAAAGAAACAUAGUUAAAUGAUAUUAAUGUGAGAUAGAAAACAUAAUCAGAUAGGGACAUAAGUGUAGAAGAGUUUGGAAUUUGGCGAUUUUGAGGUUCUAGGAGCCUCAUCUAAUACAUUCAAUUAAAUCUA